This is a long non-coding RNA of Ornithorhynchus anatinus (platypus), 1835 nucleotides long. RefSeq lists it as uncharacterized. The record is from RefSeq and is a predicted model, not a curated record. The transcript is spliced from 2 exons. NCBI's taxonomy places the organism in Eukaryota, Metazoa, Chordata, Mammalia, Monotremata, Ornithorhynchidae.
CCAUUCCAAGCGCUUAGUACAGUGCUCUGCACAUAGUAAGCGCUCAAUAAAUACGAUUGGAUGAAUGUGUCCGGGCAGGGCCUGGCUUCUUCAACUGCCCCUUCCGCUUCUCCGAGACCCACCCGGCACGAGGCAGAGUUCACACCAGUUCGCCCCUGGCCCGCGUCUUCGCUUCUCUGCGCCUCAGUUACCUCAUCUGUAAAAUGGGCAUUAAAUCCUCCCGCCAACUUAGACCGUUAGAAUGGGGUGACAGGGACUGUGUCUGACCUGAUUAACUUGUAUCUACCCCAGCGCUUACAACGGUGCGUGGUACAUAGUAAGCGCUUCGCGAGAACCACAGACGACAACUCCCGCCCCAAAACCUGAGCGGCGCAGGCCGGCGGGGGUGGGGACCGGCAAGAUGGACCGCCCCCAGAGCUCCCCUCACCAAGUCACGACGGUGGGUCGACGACCUCUGCGCCGGCAAAUGGCGGCCGGGGCACCGGAACGAGAAUUUAAAAACCGAACGGGAAUCAAGAAAAUCACCUGCGUGAGUGAAGGGUCCUCCUAAUGGGUUCCGAGUCGUCGGAGCCGGGGGCGGGGGAGGAUUUUUUGUUGUUUUUGCAGCUGGCGACACAGCCGACCAACGCCCGCUCUGCCGGCGGCCUUCUGAGCAGCCACGUGGCCUAGCGAGACGCAGGGUGGCCUGGAGGAUAGAGCACGGGCCUGGGAGUCAGAAGGAUCUGGGUUCUAGUCUCAUCUCGGCCGCCCGUCUGCCGGGUGACCUUGCGCGGGUCAUUUCGCUUCCUUGGGCCUCGGCGCCCUCAUCUGUAAAAUGGGGAUUACGAUUGGGAGCCCCACGUGGGACAGGGAUCGUGCCCAACCCGACUGGCUUGUACCCACGGUGCCUGGCGCACAGUGAGCGCUUAACGAGUACCACAAUUAUUAUUAUUCCGGUCGCCGUCUCCGGCCCUGACCCCUCUCUGCCUUCCCCACACAGCCUACUGGCCCUUAAACGCAGCAGAGCUGACUCAGAGAUCAUUUCCCGGCCGUGCCCUGGGCUCCGCGGGGGCCCGGAGAAGCCAAGUGACUUGCCCAAGGUCACAAGCACAACCCCGGUCCCCCAACCAGGCGACUCGCCACCGGACAGAAACGGCAGAGAAAAGGCGGGUGCGUCUUUCGGGAGCCAGGUCGAGCUUUCACGCGUCGGGCCGGGGUAACGACGUCCGCAGGAAGGAAGGCUUCUGGGGAAAAGCCGAGACAUCCUCCCGGGGUCUCCCGGGGAUGCCGUGAAUUCAAAAUACGUGUCCGGGUCUUUUUUUUCGAGGGUGGGACCUGAGCCGGGAGUUUCGCGCGCCUUCCUUCAAAUCCAAACGUACCGUGAAGGGAGGCAUUCAGGCUUGUUUGCUCUGAUAAUUGCUGUGGAGGCUCUGGCCUCCCAACUGGUUUUAGAAAGCCCCGUCCAUCCGUCUUUCUUUCCGAUCCUCCUUUUUAGUUUCGGUUCCCUCGGCGACGGCAGAUCAGAGCGAGGAUGUGUGUAAGGGAGCCAGCAUAUGGGACUUCAACGACAGAAAAUUCAGAAAAAUAAGUGAUGCUUCGCCUCAAAACGGUCCUUCGUUAACGUGAGAUAAUCGUGGUUUGGGGGUUCUUGAAAAUAAUGACUUUAAACACUAUUUAAAAGCGUGAAUGUUGUGAGUGUUCAGAGAGUGAAUUUCCCCGCUUGGAUUUUUCUAGGCCUCUAAAGACACGCUCGAAAAAUCAUCGGUCUAAACAGACAGCCAGAAGGUCCUGAAUCAAGAUAAAUGAUAAUGUGCAGUCAAAGAAAAAGUUGAAUAAAAACUUCCCCUUUUAUAAAA